This 67-nucleotide transfer RNA is filed under the name Rachelia extrusa (blue flash skipper). Its description in RNAcentral is "tRNA-His". The record is from RNAcentral. Lineage: Eukaryota; Metazoa; Arthropoda; Insecta; Lepidoptera; Hesperiidae.
AUUUAAAUAAUUUAAUUAAAAUAUUGAUUUGUGGGGUCAAAAAUAUGAUGAUAUAUCAUUUUAAAUA